This 789-nucleotide ribosomal RNA is filed under the name Lingulaulax polyedra. Its description in RNAcentral is "Lingulodinium polyedra partial 16S ribosomal RNA". It matches the Rfam family "Bacterial small subunit ribosomal RNA", at positions 785 to 1522 of the family's 1533-position model. Lineage: Eukaryota; Dinophyceae; Gonyaulacales; Lingulodiniaceae. The record is from RNAcentral.
CCCCAUUAGUUCACGUAAUAAAUUAUGGCUUAUUGUGGUUUGAGAUUGUAUUUAACAAUUGAAGGAUGUAAACCUAAGAAGUAUGCUUUCAUAAGUGAAACUUAAAUGUUUUGGUGGUGAUUUAGAACAAUGGUGGAACAUAUGAUUUAAUUCGAUGUUAUGCGAUAAAGCUUAUCAAUUUUUGUUUUCUUUCCAUACCUUUUAGAAGGUAGAACUCUAUUCUCGGAAGUGCAUGGCUGUUUUUGAAGGUAAUGUUUUGUAAUAUCUGGUUCAGUUCAGUAAUAAUCGACACACUAAUUGUAUAUAAAUUUUAUCUUUCUUUCACUUGGGGGACAGGCAUCUGUGAUUUGUCAUUUGAUGUGCGCCAAUUUUAUGUUUUCUGCAUUUGGUACAGGCAUCUGUGAUUUGUCAUUUGAUGUGCGCCAAUUUUAUGUUUUCUGCAUUUGGUACAGGCAUCUGUGAUUUUCAGAUUGAGUAACGUCGAGUCAUUAUGCUCUCAUUUUUGGAGAUAUUCAUGUGUUACAAAGAAAGUUAUAGGUUUCCUUUGAAAAUAGGAUUCUCAACAAUUAUCGUUCUAAUUGAAAAUUGAAAUGUUUUGAUGAAGGAGGAAUUAUUAGGAAUCAUUGGUUAGUUAUUCAAUGGUGGACAGGAUAUAAGUUUUGUACAUACCGCCCGUCAAGCAAAAAGCAGAGUUGAAUAUGAAAAUGGCAUAAAAUAAAAGCUAUUUUUUGUGCUUUCUAAUUUGUGUUAAGUCGAAACAUGGUUGCCAAUAAGGAAUUAUUGGCAGGA